Molecule: ribosomal RNA, 263 nt
Filed under: uncultured bacterium
Lineage: Bacteria
Description: partial 16S ribosomal RNA
Rfam family: Bacterial small subunit ribosomal RNA
Source: RNAcentral
GAUCAUGGCUCAGGACGAACGCUGGCGGCGUGCCUAACACAUGCAAGUCGAACGGAGAUGUUUAUUUCGGUAGAUAUCUUAGUGGCGCACGGGUGAGUAACGCGUGAAUAACCUGACCCGAAGAGGGGGAUAACACCUAGAAACAAGUGCUAAUACCGCAUAAGACCACGGACCGGCAUCGGUCAGAGGUCAAAGGAGGAAUCCGCUUUGGGAGGGGUUCGCGUCCCAUUAGGUAGUUGGUGAGGUAACGGCCCACCAAGCCG